UUUUUUUUUUUUUUUUUUUUUUGUUGUCAUUCCUGCCUAAAGAUGUUAUCGUUCUUUACUAAAGAAUUGUCAAAGUAGGGUAAACCGUGGGUGUCCUUUUGUCAGCAUUUCUGGAUUAACAACAAUAUAGGUGAGCAUGGACGGAUACACCCACAGACGCAUUUGUAGAAACGUGUAUAUCCAAAUAUGGGAGUGCAGGAGAUCCAUCUAUAUGUUUCUUUUGUAACUUUGCUUUUAACUUUUGACUUGGCUACAAAAGUACAAAAUGGUAAAGCAUUAGGUACUUUUUUUUUUUUUUUUUUUAAUUUUGGAAACGUAGUCCUAAUGUUAUUAGUAUAAAAUAGUGGCAACUAGCGAGGUGUUUAUAGCUAGGAAAAAUUGAACUAAAAGAAAAAUGAACGACUUGGGGUGAAAACGAGUCUAUGAACAAAGAUGAGAAGAUCCAACUACCUAUAUUUCUUGUAGUUUUUUCUUUCAUGGCCAUAUUAUUUUAAGUUCCCUCGACUAUCUUAAAACGUAGCAAUUACAAAUUUUCAAAGCUAUUCAGAAACUUGUACUGAAUAGAAACUGUUCAUAAUUGUUCUUUGCUGCACCAACUUGCUCCAUCGAGCAAUUGAGUUUUAUUGGGGACUAGUAACAGUACAACAGUGUAAUGGUCAAUACCCAAAUGAAAGUAAAACAAUAAUACCAAAACUGAUCCACAUAGCUGAAAAGCUAGGCAUAGAUAAAGUUAGUGAAAAAACAUGGAGGCAAAAAACUUCCUUUAUACCUUUAAGAAUAGAAUUCUGCCAAUCGAUCCGACCUCAAGAUACAAGACAGACUUACCAGCAGCUAACAGAUAAUCCCUUGUGUAUAAAGCCAAAAUGAUUAUUGAUUUGUGGGUACUUAUCAGAUGGGGACUUCAAACGCGACAUCUGUUGAUUAUCUUUGAGGUGUAAAAAAAAAAAAUAAGAAUCCUCUUUUGUAAUUUUACUGUCCUAUCCCUUUCCUUUAAUCCAGAAUGAGGUAUGUCAUCUUGUUUACAAUCUUUAGUAGUUCUCCAAAAUAGCUGAUUUGUGGAAUCAAUCUCCAUUGUGUGUGUGUGCGUGUGUUUUUUUUUUUAAGUUAGAUAACAAAAAAUGAAAAAAAAAUUGGUUUAAAUAAGUAAAGUUGAAUUAAACAUUCAGCUUCAUAAAAAGUUAACUGCCAAUUUUCUCUCCUUAACUUUUUUACUCCUUUAUAUACAUGAAAAAUUGAUCAAUCUUCUACUAAUGUUUAUCCAGAGCCGGCCUGAACUAAAACUUUCCAUAUGCUUUCUGCAGACUGCCUUCUAAUUUUUUUUUUUUAAAAAAAAGACCCUCCUAACACGGUUAAUGGUUUCCCCCCACACCCCCCCCCUCCUCCUCGCUAGUUAUAUUAGAAGCAGGAUUUCCUUUUUCUAAAACUGCACAAGCUAAGUUUUGCUACUGUUCUAGAAGACUAGGAACUUAUGCGUGUGUCUUAUUCGUCCCAUCCGUUUGCUCUUUCUUGUUAAUUCUAGAAGACAUUGACGUGAAACAAAAGUAGCACUUAGUAUAGUAAGUAAUCACGCACUUCACUCUUAUAUUAGGUUUCACACUAUAAAUACAAACAUUGACAUUUAUUGACCCCCAAAUAAAUGCAAAUACAGUUAUUUACACAAACCCUUUUUUUUGCAUGCAUAUCCACCAACUUUUCCCCUAGAUUCUUUUCUGACAGGACAUACAAUAAAUAUAUCUAACUGAAACACAUUUUUUCUUUCUUUAUUAAAAUGUUCUUGAUAUCAUCUUGCUCUAGAAGCAUUUGAUCCAGCCAUUGUCCUGACCUCUUGUUCUUUCCCUUCUUUUCCCCCAGUUGACUAAUACGCGGCUUAAAUACCUACCCGUCGUCUAGACAUGCAUAUUUAUUAAAUCCUCCCCAACAAGAAAAUCAUCAUUUGCGUCCACCAAGCAUUUUAUCCUUCUCCUUUCUUAUUACACUACUCUCCAAUUCUCAACCAAAAUGGAUGAUGAUACCAAGAACAAAACUCCUCAUCUCCAAGAUGAUCACCAUCAGCUAGCUGCGGCAGAAACAGAAGAAGCAGAUGAAGCCCUUUCCCUUAGCGGGCUUAUCUUAAACUCGGAUGAAAUCGAGGUCCAAGAUCGAAGAAGAUCAUCCUUUUCUGAUCCAUCAGAGCUUUUCGAGUUCUUGAGCGACAAAAACUCCCAGAUGUCGCAUGCAGAAGAUAUCAUUUUCUGCGGUAAGCUUAUGCCAUACCAAGAAAACCCCUCUCGUCUGCCCAAUGCUCACAAUUUCCACAAGCAUCAUCAACUCACCAGACAUGAGAAACAACAAAGCUUCCAUCGUAGAAGAUCCGAGUCGUUAAGUGACCUAAAAACCAGCCUGUCCAACAGUGCUAGAAGAAACCAGCAUCAGUUCAUGAGGGCUAGCCGGUCUUUAGACUGCCGAAAGUUGUAUGGAAACAAGUACAACUCCCCCUCGGCAGCGGGCGGUUUCGCCAGGGCUGAAAAAGUAGAGAUUGAGCGGAGCUCGUCGACGAGAAGUUCGAACAAGGGUUUUAAUGCCACUGGGAUGAAAGAAAAGACUGCAAGACCAAGGUGGUACAUGAUGUUUGGGCCUGUGAGGUUUCCACCGGAGAUGGCUUAUCAAGAUAUAAAGAGCCGGCAAGUGCGGCAGAGUCCCGGAAGUUUGUUUACGUCAUUGGAGUCCCGCGAGAAGGCCAUUGUGAACCGGCCGCAAGAUCGGAGAUGGUCGGGCUCUUGGGAUUUGCUUAGGGUAUUAAGCUGCAAGGGCCAUGCAAGUGUAGCUGUAACGGCGUCGUUUGGCUGCCUGCAGGCGCAGCACAGUAUUUGAAUAGUUGACAUUGCCUCUGUCAUGUGCGUACCUCACGUGACUACUAAUACUUUGACAUAAUUGUCCAUGGGGGACGUGGAUGGAACUGGCUGAUUGGGCUGUGAAGAGGAAGGGCAAAAUGGGGUGUCUAGAAAGAGACAUCACGUAGAAGAGAAGAUAGUGUACUGUGAGACCACAUGGUUAAUGAUGAUCAUGACGCCUCAGAUGUAAUGAAGAAGGGUAGAAUAUUUUGUCCUCCAAUUUGUGUAGGGCCAUUUGAAAAAAUUAAUGGGGAUCACGGGGUCCCAAUGACGACAUGAAUUUGGUAUUUAUUUUGGGGAGUACAAUUUUUAAAUUUCUAACUUAUUAGGGGAAUUUUUCCAGCCUUGGCAGUUUGUUAUUUGGAAUGUUUGUGUGUUCUUGAAGUCGGCCAUUUUUUUUUUUAAAAAAAAAUCUAUUGUGUAUGGAUGUAAUUUGUCCUUCAAGUACAGUACUACAAAAAUUAUAGAGAUAAACGUUCUCAUCUCAAUUCCAACUUGAGAUAGGAAAACAAGUAGCAGCAGUAGAAUAUUUAAAUAACGAGGUUGCUGUAUAUUGCCAUGCGCUAUAUGGUGAUUGUUGAGCCUUUACGCAUUCUUGCGAUAAAAUUAUACCUCUGAUUUGAGCACUAAUGUUUCAGUGAGGUCCAGAAAGGCAAAGGUAAUAUUUGUCGAAAACCAUGAUUUAGAAAAGGAGCUUAUAGUACAUCAUAUAAACCGACAACUACAGAAAAAACUACAAAGAUGUCCCCGAAGACGGAUAUUCACAAGGACAUAAGUGAAAAUUUCUAGUGUUUGAAGGGGAUAAAAGGUACUUUCAAAAUCUUGGGACGCAGAAACUAAUUCCUACAAGAACAUAUGAAUAAUAUUUACAGUUAAUUUCUUAAGAAAUAUAGAACUGCUGCUGAUGAUGAUGCAAGUAAAAUAAAAAGAUAGUUGAAAAACGUGCUGAUGAUGCAAGUAAAUAAAACUCGGUAAAUAAUUCAUUAAUUGUUACUUUGACAGUGGCCUUCAUAUUAUUGUCUUCCUUGAUCAAGUAAUAUGUGAUCCUCGAUCGUUUAUCUCAUGCAAAAUGUCUAGGGCUGGUGGGGUGAGUGGUGAUGGGUAUACGGGUGAUGCCUGUGAACACUUUAACAGAAAAAUCUCUGUUCAGCACGAAAAUGAACCCAUUCAUUUCAUUGUCAAUGGAUCUGCAUUAGCAGCCUACCCCUUCAUAAUUCACCAUUGACGUCAGUGCUGUUAUCCUAUUAUCUUCGUCAUGAAGAUAGACAGAAUAAAGGUCGAAAUCCCUAAAAGUUAAUUAAAUAGCACUAGAUUUAACUUACAUAAUAAACUGUUGUUUUCAUUCUAAGUAUUUUUCACGUAAUUUUGAAAUGUCACAUGUUUCACCAUUUUCAGGAAUUAUGUAUAAGAAACGUAUGGUGAUCAUAUAGAUCGUAGGACCAAAUAUGAGUACUACAAACAACGUGCAAGGAACAUAUUUUAGACCCCCGUCCUACGUUAAUUGGCCAAGUUAAUUAGAUCCAUUUGAGUAACAAUACUCUCUGGCAAUAUUGUUAGACUUCAUAUUCUGAAGUUUUAUUCAUGAAAAUUUGGAUCGAAGUUUAUUUCCAAGAUAUUAUUUGCUUCCAUUUAGAAACAUGUUUUUCAAUCAAUCAAUUUAUUUUUUCAACUACUUUUUUAUCUUGUACACAUCACAUCAUAAAAAAUAUUACAGUAAUUAUUUUACAUAUAUAAUCUCAUAUCCAAACAAAUGUUGUCAUAGGGUUUUAAUAUCUCCAAUUUUAGUGACUUAACUUUUGUAUUUGGGUGAAAAGUCUGGAGUUGAGUAGCUGGGACAUGUGCAUAAUCGCGUGCACUAGAAGUUUUUGUACCACAUUAAACAGUUUGGAUGCCUUCUUCAGUUUGAAAUUCUACAGCAAACCAAUUUGAUAGUGAUUGGAUAGCCAAUCAACCAACGAGACUUCUUAUGAUGUAAUGUAUGCGAGAUAAAACGGUAGUUGAAAAAUAUAUUAAGUGAAUACGAGGUCUCCACAAUAUCCAGAAAAAGUUUUCCACAAAACUAACAAUCAAAACAAGCAAAGUGGGAAAAAACAAAAAAAUUUUGUUACUAAAAGUUUAUAAAAACCAAUUCAAGAGCAUUAUGUAGAAAGCUAACAGUAAGGUGCGUGGCGUACUUUUCUCUUGCGGUUGAAACAUCCAUGAUUUCCUUUUUGCUGGCUUAAUUUGCUUCAAUGAGUAACCGAGCAUUAUGUUUUGCUUCACAUUGAAGCUUGUUCUCCGUUGAUAUUUCUCUCUUCAUCUCUUUUAUUGCAUUACAGCUCAACUACCCUAGUAAUUAAAGUGUCGUGCAUCUUUAUAAUGACGGGACAAAGAAAAACAUCGGAAGUGAUAAACUAAAUAGUACGCUCUAUGUCAAUUGUCAUGAAAAAAAAAAAAAUCAAGACAUUCGUUACUACACUUCACUUAUCUGCAUUGUUUGGAUUGUAGUUUUCUAUCAAAAUUCUUUUUCAUAAAUAUAUUUUUCAAUCAUCUUUUUAUUCCACGCUCUAUGUAGUAUAUGUAUGUAUGCUUUUGACAAGAUUUAUAUAUUGGAACUUCAUUUAAAUAUGCACAAGAUUUUAACACUCUCUUAAUUUUUGUUUGAAAACUAAAAUUUUUUUAAUAAACAUGUUUACUUUUUUAUUAUACAAUCAAUCUUUUUAGCUUUCAAACUGACAAUAUUUGAAUAGUUAGAAAACUAUUUUGUUCUAAAACAUAAAUAAAAUAGUGAUAAAUAAUGCUAUAUUUUUAAAACCAGUGACAUAUUUUUGUUUUAUAUUUGACUAUAUUAUUUAUUUAUGUAAAAGUAAGAUAAAAUUAAAUUAAAUCUUCGAUUAAUACCUAUAUAAUCAUUAUAUAUCUUUCUAAGUGCAAUAAUUACAGUCUAAAAGCAUUUUAUUAGAUAUUUUAUGUAUAUUAAAAUUACUAUCUUAUAUUUAUAAAUAUUAAAUUAAUACUUACCGAUUCAUUCACUAAUUGAACCAGUGACCAAUUGACUCAAUUCCUUCGUGGGAGCCCUUGUCCCACCAAAUUUAAUAACUAUGGUUUUAGCAACCCUAGCCAGCCCACAUUCCUUUUUUUUUUUCGGGCUAGACUAAUUCCACUCCGGCCUGGAAAAGGAGGUCCCACUCCACUCCAAGCACAGUAACAAGGGGGCUCGAAUCUUGAUUGUCCAGAUAAAUCUAUCAUAUUCUAAAGAGAGAAAGCUGACCGCUCGAGCUGAUCCUCGUGUACGUUAAUUUUGUAGUAUGACAUAUGGAAUGCGCAGAAGACUCAGAACGGAUAGGAUGUCACGCGAUUUGCAUGAAAUGAGGGUCUGCUAACGUUAAAUGUGAACAGAUAGCGUCCAUUUGACGGACUUGUCAGCUGGGGACAAGUCAAGGAGGUCAGCUUAAUUUGGCACCGGUACUUUUGGUUUAAUUCUAGUGUGGACAGAUGCAAUACUACAAAAAAUGAGGUCAUUUUUUCAUUUUGACCUAGCUCCAAUCCAUCAGUCUUAAGAGCAACAAUGGCGUAUGUUAAAAGAGAAUUUAAGAAUUCACCUAGUACUUAAAUGGAAAAAUUCAUAUCAUUAGAUUUCAAAGUGAAUAAAUUUACUCAUUAAGCUGUUAUAACAUAAUUUUUGUGUUUUUUUUUUCUAACAACUGAAUGAGGUUCAACUCUGAUCUGUGCAUCUAAGAAAACUCUAAGAAUUAACUCAUAAGGAUACUUGCCAGUGUUGGGUGCGUUGGGUUAAUUUCAUUUUGUACCCUUGAACAAUAUCCGAAUUUUCACUUUGAUUUCUAAAUUUCAAAAUGGGACGCAUUAGUUUAAUCCCUAUAUUAUAAAAUUUGUCAUAUUUAAUCCGUAAAGUAUAGUACUUUUGCCCAAUUUAGUCCCCAAAGUAUACCCGCUAAGGUAUAAAAUCUGUCCCACUUCCUUGAGUAAGACAAAUUUUAUAGUGUAAGAACUAAAGUGUCUUAUUUUAAAGUUUAGGAAUUAAAAUGAAAAUUUGGAAACAGUUGAAGGGGUGCAAAAUGGAAUUAACCCGGGUACGCUUGAUUGAUUAGUUAUCCAUCCUUAAGAAUGGAGGGGCUUUCAUGCCUGCAUCAUUCACGUCAAACUUCAUGAGAGCCGGACUGGGUUUGUAUUAUUUGGGGCUUCCAAUAGUUAUGACCAAUAACAAAAUUACCCAAUUAGAGACUCCAUCUUCUUCCUAUAUUGCCUAAAAAAUGAAAGGAAACAAGAGUACAGUGGUAAAAGAGCAUGAAACUCAACAACUAGAAGCACAAGAUAACCAUCUAGAAUGCCAGGCAUCCAAUUUAGAAAGGGAGCAUGCAGCAAGUUAAAGGUAAAACAAGUAAAAGCAUGUGGUAUUUCAAAAUAAUGCAGCAUAUACCAUCCACAGAAUUUGUUUACUAGAGAUGAGCUAAAAUAUCUACCAUGAAAAUACACCAAGAUUAAGGAGCUAAUUCAAUACAAUGCAAGAAAAGUAGCAAUGUGUCCAUAUAAAACACUAAUGGAGACAAUAACACCUCUUUUACAGGCAAAAAGUGGCCAAGAGUCCAAGAUUCGACAUAAACUUUAACAGGUUCCUUUACUCAAAGUCUCCUACACAGAAACUGUGUUCUCAUGUUGACCAGUUAUAUCAUACAGUGCUAAAUAUAAAUCAUUGGUGCAGAAAAGUCGGUUUUUGGGCUCAUACUCCCAUUGAGAGCCAUCACGGGACAUGACUCCUAUACCAGUAUGUGAUAUACAUAAAUGUAAGUACCAUUCAAUGCUGAGACAACUAAUACAAAAUUUAGACUAACUUGGAUGCACCACUUGACCAGUAUAUAUCUCCACAAACAAUAAAAGAAUUUAAGUAGCUGCAGAUAUCCUAAGAAAAACCCAGAAACUUGGAUUGCCAUUGGAAAAAAAGAAGUCAACAACUUCAAGAUAAAUGGCAUAUCUCUGAUUACAUAAAGAAGCAAGAAUCAGGGAAAAUCAAGUCAAAGGGUGGUUCCUUGGUUUCUCAUCAUCAUCUUCUUCUUCCUCCUUUUUUCACUUCUCAGAAGAAAAUUUUGGACACUCAAAUGACAGUAGAAACUACUACGGGAAGCAUACACAUCUUAUCAAAUGGACCGAGCUAUGGCUCUAACAUUUCAAACAUUAAAGAUGAAAAAUUGAAAUCCUGAAAAAUUAGAUCAGCAGCAAAAUAAAUCUUUCUUUAGGGUGAUUAAAAUUAAAAUCUUUCCUAAGAUGAGGGAGUACAAAGUAAUCAACUGUUUAAGAAUAAGUAGCAAAUAGAUCUCUAGAUUUUCUCCCUACUUUGAGAAGAGUUUAAUUAGCACAUUCAUUUGUAAGCUUGAAACCAUCUUAAGAGUUAUUCUAUUGGCAUUAUGUCACCUCAUAAUCUUCAAGUAUUCAUUUCAUUGACUCACAUGGAGCAUGUACAACAUAAAAGCAACUGCCGCAUAUUUUCCAAAAAUGCAUCGGAUAUAAAAGCAUAGCAGCAAUGCAAGAACAAACAUGUGAUGGCUAAUCGAGGUCCAAUUCAACAAGAAACUUAUAUUGAUAGCGAUUUUCUAUCUACGUUCAGUAAUUUAAUUUUUCCGUCAUGUUCCUUGUACAUAUUUACUAUUUGCAGGUGUUAAGAUCCAGAUAGCAUGUAUUUUAAUUGGAAAAGCACGUGAAACAGUAUGUAUACGCUCAAUUACACAAAGCAAGUGCCUUAACAAUGUUUGAACAGAAUAUUUCCUGUCAGAAUGGUGAAUCAAGGUUACAGGCAACUGAUCAGGAAAUGCUAUAGGGUAAAACAUCAUAAACUACAUAUCUCAGCAAACAUACAGGAAUGUAAAAGAAUUAAUUUUCUGCCGACCAGAAAAAUAAAAACCUGAAAAAGAAAAACAACCAGUUUCAUGCUUAAUUGCACAUGUAAACCCCAC
This 8815-nucleotide long non-coding RNA is filed under the name Coffea arabica (coffee). RNAcentral's name for it is "long non-coding RNA (CARA_LNC004052)". The record is from RNAcentral. Lineage: Eukaryota; Viridiplantae; Streptophyta; Magnoliopsida; Gentianales; Rubiaceae.